This 919-nucleotide small RNA is filed under the name Microascus cinereus. Its description in RNAcentral is "eukaryotic LSU rRNA". It matches the Rfam family "Eukaryotic large subunit ribosomal RNA", at positions 23 to 968 of the family's 3401-position model. The record is from RNAcentral. Lineage: Eukaryota; Fungi; Ascomycota; Sordariomycetes; Microascales; Microascaceae.
ACCCGCUGAACUUAAGCAUAUCAAUAAGCGGAGGAAAAGAAACCAACAGGGAUUGCCCCAGUAACGGCGAGUGAAGCGGCAACAGCUCAAAUUUGAAAUCUGGUCCCCCCGCGGGGCCCGAGUUGUAAUUUGAAGAGGAUGCUUCUGGCAAGGUGCCGUCCGAGUUCCCUGGAACGGGACGCCGCAGAGGGUGAGAGCCCCGUACGGUCGGACGCCGAGCCUCUGUGAAGCUCCUUCGACGAGUCGAGUAGUUUGGGAAUGCUGCUCAAAAUGGGAGGUAAACCCCUUCUAAAGCUAAAUACCGGCCAGAGACCGAUAGCGCACAAGUAGAGUGAUCGAAAGAUGAAAAGCACUUUGAAAAGAGAGUUAAAAAGCACGUGAAAUUGUUGAAAGGGAAGCGCUUGCGACCAGACUCGCGCCCGUCGGAUCAGCCGUCGCUCGUCGGCGGCGCACUCCGGCGGGCUCGGGCCAGCAUCAGUUCGCCUCGGGGGGAGAAAGGCGGCGGGAAUGUGGCUCUACGGAGUGUUAUAGCCCGCCGCGUAAUACCCCCGGGCGGACUGAGGACCGCGCGUAUGCAAGGAUGCUGGCGUAAUGGUCGUCAGCGACCCGUCUUGAAACACGGACCAAGGAGUCGUCCUAAUAUGCGAGUGUACGGGUGUCAAACCCCUGCGCGUAAUGAAAGUGAACGGAGGUGAGAGCUUCGGCGCAUCAUCGACCGAUCCUGAUGUUCUCGGAUGGAUUUGAGUAAGAGCAUAUUGGGCCGGACCCGAAAGAAGGUGAACUAUGCCUGUGUAGGGUAAAGCCAGAGGAAACUCUGGUGGAGGCUCGCAGCGGUUCUGACGUGCAAAUCGAUCGUCAAACAUGGGCAUGGGGGCGAAAGACUAAUCGAACCUUCUAGUAGCUGGUUUCCGCCGAGUUY